GUGCAUGCUCAGUGAGAUAUACAAACCGCGUGCGCACACACUUCCAAAAACUCACUGGCUCUCCAGUUCUCCAGUGAACGAACGCUGUUUUCUCCGCUGGGAAGUGGAAUCGGAACUUCAGCGUAUGAGCCACGAACUCACGGAGAAACAAUCAAACUAUUGUUGUAACUCCAGCACGACAGCUCCACUCUUUAUAUCUUACACCAUCUGCGGAUAAAUCAAGACCAUAACAGAACAUUAACGCUUGAUAAAGACGAGGCUUACUGACAGGAUGACAGAAGUGAUAAACACCUGUGAUUCGGCGGUGGGAGACUUCAGCAUCGGAGGCACCUCAGGAGAAGAGGGUAUAUCCUCCCAGUGUGUGUGUGUGUGUGGGUGGAGACAGGUGUGCUGGAGGCAGAGCAGAUCCCCACCAGCUGC
Long non-coding RNA from Oncorhynchus gorbuscha (pink salmon), 420 nucleotides. RefSeq lists it as uncharacterized. The record is from RefSeq and is a predicted model, not a curated record. Lineage: Eukaryota; Metazoa; Chordata; Actinopteri; Salmoniformes; Salmonidae. The transcript has 3 exons.